Molecule: ribosomal RNA, 637 nt
Filed under: Fastosarion alyssa
Lineage: Eukaryota; Metazoa; Mollusca; Gastropoda; Stylommatophora; Helicarionidae
Description: partial 16S large subunit ribosomal RNA
Rfam family: Bacterial large subunit ribosomal RNA (bases 245-441)
Source: RNAcentral
CUAUCAAUUCUAAAGGUAUCUGGAAUAAUUUUAAAUGUAUUUAGUACAGAAUAAAUUUUAAAUAAAGAAAUGUUAAGAUUUCAUUAAUUAUAGAAUAUUAAAUAUAGUUUAAGUAUGAAUUAAUCUUCCAAUAUGUAAACUUAAUAAUAAUAAUUUAUUUAAUAUAUCUUUAUAUUAAAAUUAUCUUUUCUGUAAUUAAUUAGAAAAUUAAUAAUGUUAAAAUUAGUAAUUUUUAAUAUUUUAAAUUAAGGAACUCGGCAAAUUAUUAUUCAACUGUUUAUCAAAAACAUAGCCUUAUGUAUUAUAUAUAAGGUGAAACCUGCCCAUUGAUUUUAAUGAAUUUAACGGCCGCAGUACCUUGACUGUGCUAAGGUAGCAUAAUAAAUUGACUCUUAAUUGGGGCCUUGAAUGAAUGGAUUUAUGGAUAAUUUCUGUCUUAAUAGAAUUAAAAUUAAAUUACUUAAAAGGUGAAAAUUCCUUUAAUUUAUACAAUAGACGAGAAGACCCUAGGAGUUUUAUUUUUGUUGGGGCGACAGUAUAACAUUAUAACUUAUAUGUUUAUAGUUAUUAUUAAACGAAUUAUUUUAAUAAUAAAGAAACUACCCUAGGGAUAACAGCAUAAUUUUUUAAAAAGUUU